UUAAACAACUCCCCAAAAGCCAACAGGAUGGCCCUCACGGCCCAGGGUGCCCUGCACUGCAGUGCGGUGCCUCUGUGAACAGAGCAGGGGCAGAGUUCCAGCUGGCAGUCAUUUGUCAGUUUUUCCUAAAAGCUUCUCAGAGCUUUCAGGAGGCAGUUUUUAUCUCCAAGAUCCUGAAGAGACAGGAGGUAACAAAAAUGGAUGCGGUAAUUCUGCCAAGUCCUACUGAUAUCAUCAGAAAGAAGGCAGAACUCUGCUAGGUACCACGACAGACAAGAAGAUGUCAGAACCAGAGAAUUCAUCUAUGAUAGACCCGAACCAUUAGACUCGUGGAGGAGGAAAAUACCUAAAUAACAAGGUUCAAGACCAGUCAAGAUCUUCUUGAAGAAGAAACAUAGAGUUGGAGGACUUGUUCUACCAGGUAUGGAGUCUUACUAUUAACCUGCUAUAAUUAAGACUGUCAUUUUCAUUCAAGGAUAGAUAAAUAGAGGUAGACGUUACCAGUGUUUUCCAAUAUCUGAGUAAUCUCCCCUUCCAGAGGCAUGGCAGAUGGCACGUCACAUCCCUUUGCAGGUGGGUGGAGCACUCUGGUACUGGCAAAUGAACUAAAGAGGAAGGGAAUGUUGGGUGAUAUUUUCAUGGUGAGUCAAUAAAAACCUGAUGGACCAUUUCCCAAUCUCUUCUCCAGAUGGAGAGCAUCCCAUGGUGCAGACACCUCACCUUGGGAAGGACAGUUGCCCUGAUACAUCUCCUGCAUCCCCAGUGACCUUAGUACGAAAAAGGAAUAACUCUGGUUCAUCAUCCUUGAAAUGUCGAAGCCUAUCCAUUUCUGUCCAACCUGCAGAUCGGCCAGUGAAACACCAGAUUAACCAGAAAGAUCCACCAAUGUGUGGACAAUUGAGUUUUCAACAAAGAAUGAAACUUCAGUGUAGGUGGGAAAAGACCAUUUGGUUACUACGGGAUAUCCAUUUGAGGGUGAAGUAGGACUUAUACCUACUGCGUGUCAUACAGAAAUCAAUUCUAGGUGAAUUAUUAACCACCUAGAUCAAAACUGUACAAAGAUUUUAGAAGAAAACACAGGGAAUUCUUUAUGACUCAGAAAAAAAUUCUAGAUAAGAAACAAAAAUCAUUACCCACAAAGGUAAAGAUAGUUGAAUUUCAUAUUAUUAAGUUUUACAAGGAAAAAAUUUUGUUUAAAAAGGAAACAGCAAAGGGAACACCUACAUUUUAAUAGUAGUUAUCUCUGGAUUGCACGAUUCCAGACUGAGUUUAUUUUCUUAAUUUUAUUUAUCCCUGUUUUGCAAAUGUUCUGUGAUGAAUAUAAAUCUUUUAAAAUUUUUUUUCAUUUAUUUAUAUGCAGUGCUGAGAAUUGAACCCAGUGACUCACCCAAGUGAGGCAAGCACUCUACCACUGAGCACG
Long non-coding RNA from Sciurus carolinensis (gray squirrel), 1420 nucleotides. RefSeq lists it as uncharacterized. The transcript is spliced from 3 exons. Lineage: Eukaryota; Metazoa; Chordata; Mammalia; Rodentia; Sciuridae. The record is from RefSeq and is a predicted model, not a curated record.